This 301-nucleotide ribosomal RNA is filed under the name uncultured bacterium. RNAcentral describes it as "partial 16S ribosomal RNA". It matches the Rfam family "Bacterial small subunit ribosomal RNA", at positions 509 to 810 of the family's 1533-position model. The record is from RNAcentral.
CAGCAGCCGCGGUAAUACGUAGGGUGCAAGCGUUAAUCGGAAUUACUGGGCGUAAAGCGUGCGCAGGCGGUUAUAUAAGACAGAUGUGAAAUCCCCGGGCUCAACCUGGGAACUGCAUUUGUGACUGUAUAGCUAGAGUACGGCAGAGGGGGAUGGAAUUCCGCGUGUAGCAGUGAAAUGCGUAGAUAUGCGGAGGAACACCGAUGGCGAAGGCAAUCCCCUGGGCCUGUACUGACGCUCAUGCACGAAAGCGUGGGGAGCAAACAGGAUUAGAUCCCCCGUAGUCCCUGUCUCUCAUACA